AUACGGAGGGUCCGAGCGUUAUCCGGAAUCAUUGGGUUUAAAGGGUCCGCAGGCGGUCAAUUAAGUCAGAGGUGAAAUCCCAUUGCUCAACACUGGAACUGCCUUUGAUACUGGUUGACUUGAGUUAUACGGAAGUAGAUAGAAUGUGUAGUGUAGCGGUGAAAUGCAUAGAGAUUACACAGAAUACCGAUUGCGAAGGCAGUCUACUACGUAUAUACUGACGCUGAGGGACGAAAGCGUGGGGAGCGAACAGGAUUAGAAACCCCGGUAGUCC
Molecule: ribosomal RNA, 274 nt
Filed under: uncultured bacterium
Lineage: Bacteria
Description: partial 16S ribosomal RNA
Rfam family: Bacterial small subunit ribosomal RNA
Source: RNAcentral